Molecule: ribosomal RNA, 468 nt
Filed under: uncultured bacterium
Lineage: Bacteria
Description: partial 16S ribosomal RNA
Rfam family: Bacterial small subunit ribosomal RNA
Source: RNAcentral
GACGAACGCUGGCGGCGUGCUUAACACAUGCAAGUCGAACGGAAAGGCCCUGCUUUUGUGGGGUGCUCGAGUGGCGAACGGGUGAGUAACACGUGAGUAACCUGCCCUUGACUUUGGGAUAACUUCAGGAAACUGGGGCUAAUACCGGAUAGGAGCUCCUGCUGCAUGGUGGGGGUUGGAAAGUUUCGGCGGUUGGGGAUGGACUCGCGGCUUAUCAGCUUGUUGGUGGGGUAGUGGCUUACCAAGGCUUUGACGGGUAGCCGGCCUGAGAGGGUGACCGGCCACAUUGGGACUGAGGUUAGGGCCAGACUCCUACGGGAGGGAGCAGGGGGGAAUAUUGCACAAUGGGCGGAAGCCUGAUGCAGCAACGCCGCGUGCGGGAUGACGGCCUUCGGGUUGUAAACCGCUUUCGCCUGUGACGAAGCGUGAGUGACGGUAAUGGGUAAAGAAGCACCGGCUAACUACGUG